GACGAACGCUGGCGGCGUGCUUAACACAUGCAAGUCGAGCGGAGCGGCGAACGGGUGAGUAACGCGUGAGUAACUGCCCCCCUCUCAGGGAUAACCGUUGGAAAGGGCUGCUAAUACCGGACAGUGGGGGUGGACUCGCGUCCUAUCCGCUUGUUGGUGGGGUAGUGGCCUACCAAGGGGACGCCGGUUAGCCGGCCUGAGAGGGCGACCGGCCUCAUUGGGCUGAGAGACGGGCCAAUCGCCUACGGGGGGCAGGAGUGGGGAAUCUUGCACAGCGGGUGCAACCCGGCGGCAGCAAUCCGCGUGCUGAAUCACGGCUUUCUGGGUAUAAACCGCUUACAGCCUGGACGCGGUAGUGACAGAGGAAGCACCGGCUAACUACGUGCCAGCAGCCGCGGUAAUUC
This 404-nucleotide ribosomal RNA is filed under the name uncultured bacterium. RNAcentral's name for it is "partial 16S ribosomal RNA". It matches the Rfam family "Bacterial small subunit ribosomal RNA", at positions 28 to 526 of the family's 1533-position model. The record is from RNAcentral.